This is a long non-coding RNA of Notolabrus celidotus (New Zealand spotty), 642 nucleotides long. RefSeq lists it as uncharacterized. The transcript is spliced from 3 exons. The record is from RefSeq and is a predicted model, not a curated record. NCBI's taxonomy places the organism in Eukaryota, Metazoa, Chordata, Actinopteri, Labriformes, Labridae.
CUCCCGUACAAAGAUGGCGGUCUGAUAUGGCGGACUCGGUGGGCGAGUUUGACUACUUCUGUGAAUGUGGAGAUCAUUCAGAGGUGUGUGAGGUUGUCAGGUAGCUGCACUGAGGAAGCAGGAGACGCAGAGUUGGAAAAAGCUCUCUGCUUCGUUGACUCGACCACAAAGUGUCUAUGGCAGGAUGACUCGGAUCUCUGAAAAGGAACAGGGAGGCAGACGGUGGAGCCGUGCAUUUAAGCGGUCAGAUUGACGCACUCCACCUCCUUCUGUGUCGCUCAGGCUUCUGGAAGUUUGCCCAAGCCUGUCUCCAUAUUUGACAAACGUGCUUUUCUUGCGCAGCAACAGAUCGAGCCACAAUUAGAUCCAGAGACUUUUAGGAUGCACUCACUAGCCUUGGAUGUAGCUUUUGCCAGAAUGUGAGCCACAUUAAAGACGAAAACCAUGACCCUCUGCAACUUAUUAGAGACUGAGCUUUGAUUUCCUGAUCACACACUGCAUGGUUAUGCAUGACAUUGUGGAGGUGAGGAAAAUCCCUCAGAAAAGACACAUCCUUAAAUUGUCAGCUGCCCUCUGAGUCAUGACUCGGUGCUGUCUGGAAAUAAAACAACUACUCAGGGGAAAUAAGUGAGAUGAAAUACA